CCAAAAGUGGAAAUAAGGAGUGAAAUGUAUAACAGAUAUUGGGAAAAGGGAAGAAAAUGUUCAAAUGGGAAGGGAAACAAGGGCCAGGGAUUUAGCUGAGUGGCACCACGCCUGCCUCGAAAGCUCAAGGUCCUGAGUUCGAUCCCCUGCACCAGGGGGAGAAAAAAAUUUUUUUCCAGCUUAAUGCAUCAGUUAAACAAAUCAAAAAACUCCAAAUGGUGGUGUACUCAAGAGGCUGGGGCAGGAGUGCCAUAAGUUCGAUGCCAACCUGAGCUACACAGCAAGAUCCUGUCUGGAAGAAAAACAAAAACAACUUAUACUGACUUCCCACAGUAGCCUCAACUGCAUUUUCCAGAUGCAGCACAUACUUUUUAUUUUUUGCUCUUAUCUUUUUCUCUUAUUCUGCCCAGGUUCGCUCUGCAGAGCUGGUUCCUCCCAUAGCCCUUCACCCCUCACUUUUCAAAUAAACUUAAAAAUUUUAAAAACUCCACACUGUAACAACCACACAUCUUAAAAAUAACUGAUGCACAAGUACAAAUUCUCUAUGAUGGAUGCAAUCAUUAUGUCAAGUGUACUGAUAAAAUAUAAAUAAUUGUUUCUUCUGUAA
Non-coding RNA from Heterocephalus glaber (naked mole-rat), 607 nucleotides. The record is from RefSeq and is a predicted model, not a curated record. NCBI's taxonomy places the organism in Eukaryota, Metazoa, Chordata, Mammalia, Rodentia, Bathyergidae.